GCCCGGAUGGCGGAACUGGCAGACGCGACGGACUCAAAAUCCGUUGGCCGCAAGGCCGUGUGGGUUCGAUUCCCUCUCCGGGCA
RNAcentral lists this transfer RNA (84 nucleotides) under Elusimicrobiota bacterium. RNAcentral describes it as "Elusimicrobia bacterium (groundwater metagenome) tRNA-Leu". It matches the Rfam family "tRNA". From Rfam's summary of the family: Transfer RNA (tRNA) molecules are approximately 80 nucleotides in length. Their secondary structure includes four short double-helical elements and three loops (D, anti-codon, and T loops). The record is from RNAcentral. Lineage: Bacteria; Pseudomonadati; Elusimicrobiota.